RNAcentral lists this long non-coding RNA (231 nucleotides) under Elaeis guineensis (African oil palm). RNAcentral's name for it is "long non-coding RNA (EGUI_LNC065877)". Lineage: Eukaryota; Viridiplantae; Streptophyta; Magnoliopsida; Arecales; Arecaceae. The record is from RNAcentral.
GGGGGAGAGGCCCUGCAACACCCAAAUGUGCCCCCACAGCCAUGUUAGGGACAGGAAGAAAAUCUCGCCCUAACAUGAGCAAAGUCGAAGGCCCGGUUCUCCUUAGAUCGGAUGGGGGGAGAGGCCCUGCAACGCCCACAUGUGCCCCCACAGCCAUGUUAGGGACAGGAAGAAAACCUCGCCCUAACAUGAGCAAAGUCGAAGGCCCGGUUCCUCUUAGACCAGAUGGGG